UACUAAGGGACCGGAGAUUCCACGAUCGUGGGACGUCACUUCUAUCUACAAAUACUAAGAAAUUAUGUCGCAAACCCCCCACUCUCUAAUGCCCGUUUUCACCAACAACCUCUUACCGUUUCCCUAUCUAAAAGCUACUUUUAAUAAGGACCCCUCCCAAUUUGACACCUACCUAAAUUCAUUUUCACCACACUUGUACAUGGAUCCCUUAAGUAAGUGACAGAUUACUAGUUCUACAAACGAUAAUGCAAAGUCGAUAUUUUAUCGAUAAAAUGAUUUUUCUCUACUUCUUAAGAAAUAAACGUCUAUCGAGUAUAUAUUACUAAAGCCUAUAAGUUUAUUUUGGCAGAGAAGAGAAAACGAGGAUAAACCUUUCUUGCAGAAGAAAAAGACAAGCUAGUGAAAUUGCUGACGUCUCAUAGAUACACAAUAUUAAACAAAAAACGGAUGGGACCACGAACGAAUCCAAAAACAAAGCUUGGAUCCAGUUACAAAUAGUUUUAAUGCGAUAGGAACCGUUUACAGGUAAAUGUGAAUAAUAUCUGUGUAUAAUAAUAUAAGAUAUUGCCGUUCAACUGUGUUCCUUGUUUUACUGUCGACUUCAUUGUAUUUUUGUUCUCCAUGAGUUGAUGGAUUUAAGUAUGGGGUUAAAAUUAUACAUUUAUUAUAUUUAUUUAGUUUCAGGUGGUGCGAGAAAUUGGAAAGACGUGUAAAAACAUGCUGCGCCCAGCCCACCUCAAAUUGAAUUGGUGCAGGAGGAUGAUGAUAAUGUUUGGUACAUCAUAUGAGGACUAAUAUUAAAAUAUUUGUUUACUA
This is a long non-coding RNA of Helicoverpa armigera (cotton bollworm), 816 nucleotides long. RefSeq lists it as uncharacterized. NCBI's taxonomy places the organism in Eukaryota, Metazoa, Arthropoda, Insecta, Lepidoptera, Noctuidae. The record is from RefSeq and is a predicted model, not a curated record. The transcript has 2 exons.